GUAGGGUCCGAGCGUUAUCCGGAAUCAUUGGGGCGUAAAGAGCUCGUAGGCGGUUCAGCAAGUCGGCUGUGAAAGUUCGAGGCUCAACCUCGAAAUUGCAGUCGAUACUGCUGUGACUCGAGUCCCGGUAGAGGAGAAUGGAAUUCCCGGUGUAGCGGUGAAAUGCGCAGAUAUCGGGAGGAACACCAGUAGCGAAGGCGGUUCUCUGGGCCGGCACUGACGCUGAGGAGCGAGAGCGUGGGGAGCAAACAGGAUUAGAUACCCUGGUAGUCCACGCCGUAAACGUUGGAUGCUAGGUGUGGCGGUCUACCAACGACUGCCGUGCCGAAGCUAACGCAUUAAGCAUCCCGCCUGGGGAGUACGGCCGCAAGGCUA
RNAcentral lists this ribosomal RNA (375 nucleotides) under uncultured organism. RNAcentral's name for it is "partial 16S ribosomal RNA". It matches the Rfam family "Bacterial small subunit ribosomal RNA", at positions 527 to 896 of the family's 1533-position model. The record is from RNAcentral.